GACUCUUAGUGUAGCUUCCGAGAAGGUUAGAUCUACUCUACUUUACUUUUAGUGUGGCAUAACUAAACUUUUAAUGUAGAAUAGGAGUGAAACGCUUUACAAUUACCUGUAUAUCUGAAUAUCAAUUAAAUAUAUUUAGUAUAGGAUACAAUUUCUCAAAUAUCUACUGUUAAGGGUAGAUAUAAUAAAUAACAGCUUUUUGCUCUCUUCUCCGGGUAAUUACCUGAAUCGAUUCUAAUAAAGUAAUAUACAUGUUACUUAUGUUUUUACAUUUAAUUAAAGAUAUAUUCAAACUUAACCGUUAUAUAUAUAAUGUUAAAAUUAGUAAGAUUGAAAAGAAGUUUAGAAGGAACUCGGCAAACGUACAAAUCAACUGUUUACCAAAAACAUAGCUUAUUGAAUUUUCAUAAUAAGUGUAGUCUGCCCAGUGAGUAUCUUUAACGGCCGCAGUACUUUGACUGUGCUAAGGUAGCAAAAUAAAUAGGCCUUUAAUUGGGGUCGAGAAUGAAAGGCUUCAUGGUUUGACGCUGUCUCCUACUAUUAACCCUUAAUUUACUUAGUAGGUGAAAAUUCCUACGUAUACAUAUAAGACGAGAAGACCCUAAGAAUUUUUAAAUUAACGUUACCAUAAAUGUAAAAUUUUUUGUUGGGGCGACAAUAUGGCAUUAAACCCAUAUUAAUAUAACAUAGCACGACCGAACUAGUAGAGUAAUGGAGAGUAUAAUUACCUUAGGGAUAACAGCAUAAUUUUCUAUAAGAUUGUGACCUCGAUGUUGGACUAGGGACCUCUUAUAUUAGCCGUAUAAGAGGUAAUUUCUGUUCGAAAUAAUACUACCUACAUGAUCUGAGUUCAGACCGGCGCAAGCCAGGUCAGUUUCUAUCUAUAUAAUUUUUAUUUUA
This 900-nucleotide ribosomal RNA is filed under the name Arion silvaticus. RNAcentral describes it as "partial 16S ribosomal RNA". The stretch from base 329 to 900 matches the Rfam family "Eukaryotic large subunit ribosomal RNA", at positions 1889 to 3012 of the family's 3401-position model. Lineage: Eukaryota; Metazoa; Mollusca; Gastropoda; Stylommatophora; Arionidae. The record is from RNAcentral.